UACGUAGGGUGCAAGCGUUAAUCGGAAUUACUGGGCGUAAAGCGUGCGCAGGCGGUUUUGUAAGUCUGACGUGAAAUCCCCGGGCUCAACCUGGGAAUUGCGUUGGAGACUGCAAGGCUUGAAUCUGGCAGAGGGGGGUAGAAUUCCACGUGUAGCAGUGAAAUGCGUAGAGAUGUGGAGGAACACCGAUGGCGAAGGCAGCCCCCUGGGUCAAGAUUGACGCUCAUGCACGAAAGCGUGGGGAGCAAACCGG
This 253-nucleotide ribosomal RNA is filed under the name uncultured bacterium. Its description in RNAcentral is "partial 16S ribosomal RNA". It matches the Rfam family "Bacterial small subunit ribosomal RNA", at positions 524 to 776 of the family's 1533-position model. The record is from RNAcentral.